This 406-nucleotide ribosomal RNA is filed under the name uncultured bacterium. Its description in RNAcentral is "partial 16S ribosomal RNA". It matches the Rfam family "Bacterial small subunit ribosomal RNA", at positions 30 to 526 of the family's 1533-position model. The record is from RNAcentral.
AUUGAACGCUGGCGGCAGGCCUAACACAUGCAAGUCGAGCGAGCGGCGGACGGGUGAGUAAUGUCUGGGAAACUGCCUGCUUGAGGGGGAUAACUACUGGAAACGGUAGCUCAUACCUCAUACCAUCAGAUGUGACCAGAUGGGAUUAGCUAGUAUGUGGGGUUACGGCUCACCUAGGCGACGAUCCCUAGCUGGUCUGAGAGGAUGACCAGCAACUCUGGAAUGGAGACACGGUCCAGACUCCUAUGCUAGGCAGCGGUGGGGAAGAUUGGACAAGGGGCGCAAUCCUGAGUCAGCCAUGCCGCGUGUCGGAAGAAGUCCUUCGGGUUGUAAAGCACUUCCGGCUGGGAGUCGGUACCCGAAGAAGAAGCACCGGCUAACUCCGUGCCAGCAGCCGCGGUAAUAC